GAUGAAGAACGUAGCAAAAUGCGAUACUUGGUGUGAAUUGCAGAAUCCCGUGAACCAUCGAGUUUUUGAACGCAAGUUGCGCCCGAAGCCUUUUGGCCGAGGGCACGUCUGCCUGGGCGUCACGCAUCGCGUCGCCCCCCACAAUUCUCCGUAAAGGGAACAUGUGUUUUGGGGGCGGAUAUUGGUCUCCCGUGCUCAUGGCGUGGUUGGCCGAAAUAGGAGUCCUUUCGAUGGACGCACGAACUAGUGGUGGUCGUAAAAACCCUUGUCUUUUGUUUCGUGCUGUUGCUCGCAAGGUAAACUCUUUAAAAACCCCAAUGUGUCGUCUCUUGACGACGCUUCGACCGCGACCCCAGGUCAGGCGGGACUACCCGCUGAGUUUAAGCAUAUCAUAAGCGGAGGA
Molecule: unclassified non-coding RNA, 403 nt
Filed under: soil metagenome
Description: partial contains 5.8S ribosomal RNA, internal transcribed spacer 2, and large subunit ribosomal RNA
Rfam family: 5.8S ribosomal RNA (bases 1-122)
Source: RNAcentral